GGCUAACGCUGGCGGCGUGUCUUAGCCAUGCAAGUCGAGCGGACUUAUGGGGUAACUUAUAAGUCAGCGGCGGACGGCGGAGUAACACGUAGCUAACCUACCCUCUGGACGGGGAUAACCUACCGAAAGGUGGGCUAAUACCCGAUGUAGUCAUCCUGUAUAGGGGUGAUGAAAGGUGGGCUUCUGUUUACAAGCUCAUGCUGGAGGAGGGGGCUGCGGCCUAUCAGGUAGUUGGUAGGGUAAUAGCCUACCAAGCCGAUGACGGGUAGCCGGCCUGAGAGGGUGACCGGCCCGAGGGGCACUGAGAUACGGGUCCCACUCCUACGGGAGGCAGCAGGCUAGAAAUUUGGGCAAUGGGGGAAACCCUGACCCAGUGACGCCGCGUGCAGGAAGGAGCCCUUCGGGGUGUAAACUGCUGUCGUGUAGGGAGAAGGGUACUAAGGUGAACAAUCUUAGUACUUGACGGUACUACAGGAGGAAGCCCAGGCUAACCUCGUGCCAGCAGCCGCGGUAAGGCGUACGUAGA
RNAcentral lists this ribosomal RNA (526 nucleotides) under uncultured bacterium. RNAcentral describes it as "bacterial SSU rRNA". It matches the Rfam family "Bacterial small subunit ribosomal RNA", at positions 28 to 534 of the family's 1533-position model. The record is from RNAcentral.